UACGUAGGGUGCAAGCGUUAAUCGGAAUUACUGGGCGUAAAGCGUGCGCAGGCGGUUUUGUAAGUCUGUCGUGAAAUCCCCGGGCUCAACCUGGGAAUUGCGUUGGAGACUGCAAGGCUGGAGUCUGGCAGAGGGGGGUAGAAUUCCACGUGUAGCAGUGAAAUGCGUAGAGAUGUGGAGGGACACCGAUGGCGAAGGCAGCCCCCUGGGUCAAGACUGACGCUCAUGCACGAAAGCGUGGGGAGCAAACAGG
This 253-nucleotide ribosomal RNA is filed under the name uncultured bacterium. Its description in RNAcentral is "partial 16S ribosomal RNA". It matches the Rfam family "Bacterial small subunit ribosomal RNA", at positions 524 to 776 of the family's 1533-position model. The record is from RNAcentral.